This 468-nucleotide ribosomal RNA is filed under the name uncultured bacterium. RNAcentral describes it as "partial 16S ribosomal RNA". It matches the Rfam family "Bacterial small subunit ribosomal RNA", at positions 28 to 507 of the family's 1533-position model. The record is from RNAcentral.
GACGAACGCUGGCGGCGUGCUUAACACAUGCAAGUCGAACGGAAAGGCCCUGCUUUUGUGGGGUUCUCGAGUGGCGAACGGGUGAGUAACACGUGAGUAACCUGCCCUUGACUUUGGGAUAACUUCAGGAAACUGGGGCUAAUACCGGAUAGGAGCUCCUGCUGCAUGGUGGGGGUUGGAAAGUUUCGGCGGUUGGGGAUGGACUCGCGGCUUAUCAGCUUGUUGGUGGGGUAGUGGCUUACCAAGGCUUUGACGGGUAGCCGGCCUGAGAGGGUGACCGGCCACAUUGGGACUGAGAUACGGCCCAGACUCCUACGGGAGGCAGUAGUGGGGAAUAUUGCACAAUGGGCGGAAGCCUGAUGCAGAAACGCCGCGUGCGGGAUGAAGGCCUUCGGGUUGUAAACCGAUUUAGGCUGUGACGAAGCGUGAGUGACGGUAAUGGGUAAAGAAGCACCGGCUAACUACGUG